UGAAGAGUUAUAAGAGGUCCAGCCUGCCCAGUGAAAAUUUAACGGCCGCGGUACCCUGACCGUGCGAAGGUAGCAUAAUCACUUGUUCUUUAAAUAGGGACUAGUAUCAACGGCAUCACGAGGGUUACACUGUCUCCUUUCUCCAAUCAGUGAAACUGAUCUCCCCGUGAAGAAGCGGGGAUAUAAUCAUAAGACGAGAAGACCCCAUGGAGCUUUAAAUUUUACAGCAACUCAGUCAAACAAACCCUUAUAAUCCACAGAGCCAUGCAUGCCAAUUUUAGGUUGGGGUGACCGCGGAGCAAAAAUUAACCUCCACGACGAAAAGAACUAAAUCUUUAUCCAAGAGCUACAACUCUAAGAAUUAGAAUACUAACGACAAUGACCCGAUAAUCGAUCAACGGACCAAGUUACCCUGGGGAUAACAGCGCAAUCUACUUCGAGAGCUCAUAUCGACAAGUAGGC
This 462-nucleotide ribosomal RNA is filed under the name Zhangixalus arboreus (Kinugasa flying frog). RNAcentral's name for it is "Rhacophorus arboreus (Kinugasa flying frog) partial 16S ribosomal RNA". It matches the Rfam family "Bacterial large subunit ribosomal RNA", at positions 1836 to 2517 of the family's 2925-position model. Lineage: Eukaryota; Metazoa; Chordata; Amphibia; Anura; Rhacophoridae. The record is from RNAcentral.